GGUUGUGGCUCAGUGGCAGAGCACUUGCCUGGCAUGUGUAAGACCCUGGGUUCAAAUCUCAGCACCA
RNAcentral lists this transfer RNA (67 nucleotides) under Marmota monax (woodchuck). RNAcentral's name for it is "tRNA.Ala". It matches the Rfam family "tRNA". Rfam says of the family: Transfer RNA (tRNA) molecules are approximately 80 nucleotides in length. The record is from RNAcentral. Lineage: Eukaryota; Metazoa; Chordata; Mammalia; Rodentia; Sciuridae.